AGUGAGUCAGAGCAGCGGCACAUGCCCCAGUGUGUGAGCUCAGAGCUCAGUGCUCAACCCAUCACUCGACUAAAGAACAGAUUUCAUGACCUCGACCAUGGCCCUCCAGGCGGUUCUAGGCAGGUCCCAGCAAAAAAGUACUGGGGUAGAAACCAAGGACCAGGCCCACAGAAACAGGGACCCCAGGGGCUUGCAAGGGGGAGUGCUGACUGCCAGGCUGCCCCAUACUUGUUGGCUUGGCAGGCUUUUCAAAAUGCAGGUAUCUCUGGAGCUGUUUUGUGGACACCAGGAGCAUUACUUGACAAGCCCUGUGCUGGCCCCAAGGUACCCUGUGCACCUGGGUAAGGAUGGAACACAUUGGGAACAGGGACCCAACACGCCCACUCCGGAACAGCGUGGGACCUGGGGAAAUCGCCAGUUGUUUGCUGUCCUGCCAUUGCUGUUCUGCACAUCCCUGGAGACUAUGAGCAUCGGUUACAGUGUGGUAGUGGCUGGUCAGGUGGCCACCCACCAAGGGUCAGAUGCCACAUCAGCCCGAGCGAAGCUGCCAGACACUGGCUGUUCCAAUGACAAUUAGACAUUCUUGAGAAGGUGGAGCCAUUUGUGAGAGCUCAAGAUGGGUGUCCUGGAAGUGCCACUUAAAGGCGACUGAGGCCUCUCAAAAUCCCUCUGUUAGAGCUGCAGCUCUCCAUGUGGGAUGCAGUGCAGUCACCUAUGGAGCUUUAGGACAGGCCCAGGGCUCAGCUCCCCAGACCAGUGCCUUCACAACUUUCGCAGCAGGGAUAGCCGGCUUGGAAAGGCAUGCCUGGGAGACCA
This 816-nucleotide long non-coding RNA is filed under the name Homo sapiens (human). RNAcentral describes it as "non-protein coding lnc-TRIM49B-5:1". The record is from RNAcentral. Lineage: Eukaryota; Metazoa; Chordata; Mammalia; Primates; Hominidae.